ACUUAAAUUGAAGAGUUUGAUCAUGGCUCAGAUUGAACGCUGGCGGCAGGCCUAACACAUGCAAGUCGAGCGGCAGCG
This 78-nucleotide ribosomal RNA is filed under the name Aeromonas hydrophila. Its description in RNAcentral is "partial 16S ribosomal RNA". It matches the Rfam family "Bacterial small subunit ribosomal RNA", at positions 1 to 74 of the family's 1533-position model. The record is from RNAcentral. Lineage: Bacteria; Pseudomonadati; Pseudomonadota; Gammaproteobacteria; Aeromonadales; Aeromonadaceae.